UGACAGUACGCAGAUGUAGAGACGUCUGGCGACUGUACCUACGAAGUGAACAAGUGUUUGGUUAUCCCUGCUUGUUACUGGGAUCAUCUUCAAUGCACACGAGAGAAGAAAUUUUUAACAGGGCAAAAAAGCUAUCUAUUUCCCAGGGAGAGUCACACAUUAAAGUACAGAUUGGAGUUGACUGAUUGGACGCAAAUAAAUAUUGACACCAAAAAGUCCAAAAUUAUUGGAUGUUGCCAUUCCUGAAACCUAUCCUGCUGAAUGGAAUCCAUUAGACUAAGCACAUGAUUUUGAAUUGGUCCAUUUAGAGAAAAAUGGCAGAGAAUUUAAAAAGUGUCGAAAGUAAAUUCUCCACAACACUCAGAAAGGAGAAGUUUCAAAUAAGCAACAUGUAUCGUAUACAGAA
Molecule: long non-coding RNA, 406 nt
Organism: Saccostrea echinata
Lineage: Eukaryota; Metazoa; Mollusca; Bivalvia; Ostreida; Ostreidae
Exons: 3
Source: RefSeq, a predicted model, not a curated record